RNAcentral lists this ribosomal RNA (250 nucleotides) under uncultured prokaryote. RNAcentral's name for it is "partial 16S ribosomal RNA". It matches the Rfam family "Bacterial small subunit ribosomal RNA", at positions 524 to 773 of the family's 1533-position model. The record is from RNAcentral.
UACGGAGGAUGCGAGCGUUAUCCGGAUUUAUUGGGUUUAAAGGGUGCGCAGGCGGACGGCUAAGUCAGCGGUGAAAUGUCCCGGCUCAACCGGGGAGCUGCCGUUGAUACUGGCCGACUAAGGUCCAAACGGCGCCGGCGGAAUGUGUGGUGUAGCGGUGAAAUGCAUAGAUACCACACAGAACACCGAUCGCGAAGGCAGCUGGCGAGGACGGCACCGACGCUGAGGCACGAAGGCGUGGGGAUCGAAC